This 1638-nucleotide long non-coding RNA is filed under the name Podarcis lilfordi (Lilford's wall lizard). Lineage: Eukaryota; Metazoa; Chordata; Lepidosauria; Squamata; Lacertidae. The record is from RNAcentral.
UGUGUGUGUGUAGAGAUACUGAAGGGAACAAACUGCAAUAAGGCAUCUGAUGUCCUGAGAAUGUGCCAUGUGGACGCACCUUUUCUAUUUUAAUGCAGUAGCAUGCCCAGGAUCCCUCAGCCAUUCUGAGCGCCUUUCCUAGCACAGAGGUAGGUUUCAAGAAGUGUUUUACUUCUGCACCAGUUUUAAGCUUCAUUUUAUUCUUUUUAUACAGACGCAACUAUAAGAUGAUUGAGAUAUAUACAAUCUUAUUUUAUGUAUGUAUUCAAAUCCAUGCACACGGAACACAGAUUACACCUCUUCUAUGCUGCAAAAGGAGAUGAGACCCAAAGGUCCAAAUCAUAGGACUGCCCCAUGUCAGAUAUUGAGUCCAUUUAUCAUGAUAACAUAUCUCACACCUCUCUACUAGUCAGCAUCUCCCAGGCUCAAGGAUUUCAUUGCCUUUCCUGGGAGGCAGGCUGAGAAUUCAGACAGACACUUUGAGAGGAGUGAAGCACCAAUGUCCUCUAAUCAGAGGUUUAUAUUUUUACCAUGCACAGAUCAGAGCCUUCAGGUCUCAUCUUGCUUCUGUGGGUUUUUUGCAUGAUGGUCAUUAAAGAUUUGCAUUUCUCAGUAAAAAUUACAACAAAGCAUACCCGUAUUUUUGUGUGUUAAGAUUGGAAAACUAAACAAAGGAGGAGCUAUGGAAGAAGCCAAAGCUAUAGCAAAAACUUUUAAGAGACGGGUGGGGGGACGAUCAGUGUUGAAAUAUUUGAUAAAAUAAAAGAAAUAAUGGAAGUACAGACAAAGACCUCAUCUUUUGUUUUGUUUUUGAACAGUGCAACUAAGUGGGAAUAAUAUUGCAGAAAGAGAGGAAAUUGUAUCUCAGAGCAGGAUAAGGAUACUGUUUAGAAUUACAGGGAUAAAGAUACUGUUUAGAAUUACAGUUUUGUGGCAUGAUCCGUCAAGUACUGCUGGUGUACAGCCUCCAUAUAUUUCAGUGAUCAUGCAUUGGUCUCCCCCAUUUAUUCAGACAAAGGCUGUACAUUGGCAGUGCUUGGUAGUUCUGUAGUUACAGCACAGUUCUAUGCACGUCUACUAGGAAGUAAGUCACACUGAGUUCAAUGAGAAUCCCAAAUAAGGGCAGCCUUAGUCACUCAUCAAGAAAUCUCAUGGGUGAAAUCCGAUUAGUCUUGACAGAUAUCAGGGUCUGACCUAAGCAGAAUCUGCCAAUGAGUGGGUUUAAUACCAGUGUAAGAAGUUGCUGAAACAUCAUUGCCUUAGGUGUCACAUAGGACUUUGCUAUUAGGCAGGCUUGAGUGCCAAAAAGUGUAUUAACUUCCUGGACUGGGCUUGGCUGCCUUUGUGUCUGAAUAACUUUAUCUCUAGUUCCACUGGAUUAGACUUGCUCACCUCUGCAACUUUGGCCCAGUGAUCCUAUAUGAACCUGCUGCCUUACCUUUUGACCACCUGGAUUGAUAAUUUCCCCCAUGACUGCUACCAUCUUCAGCCACCCAUGUGCCUUGCUCUUUCUAGAUGACCAGGAUCCCUAUUUUAUCUCCAAAGCAGACCAGAAAUAUCCACAGAAGCAAGGCAAUUAAACGAGAGAACAGGAAGCAGUUUCUACUUUUUCAAAGGAAUCGCAAUAGAUGACAUUAA